Molecule: non-coding RNA, 82 nt
Organism: Arachnomyces sp. PD_36
Lineage: Eukaryota; Fungi; Ascomycota; Eurotiomycetes; Onygenales; Arachnomycetaceae
Source: the annotation of a GenBank genome assembly
UCCAGUAUGGUGUAUCGGUAACAUCGCUCGCUUUCAAAUGAAGGACACCGAGCAGCGCGGGGUUCGAUUCCCCGUACUGGAG